UACGUAGGGGGCAAGCGUUGUCCGGAUUUAUUGGGCGUAAAGAGCGUGUAGGCGGCCUGACAGGUCUGCUGUGAAAACUCGAGGCUCAACCUCGAGAUGUCGGCGGAAACCGUCUGGCUAGAGUCCGGAAGAGGAGAGUGGAAUUCCUGGUGUAGCGGUGAAAUGCGCAGAUAUCAAGAAGAACACCUAUGGCGAAGGCAGCUCUCUGGGACGGUACUGACGCUGAGACGCGAAAGCGUGGGGAGCGAACAGG
Molecule: ribosomal RNA, 253 nt
Filed under: uncultured bacterium
Lineage: Bacteria
Description: partial 16S ribosomal RNA
Rfam family: Bacterial small subunit ribosomal RNA
Source: RNAcentral